RNAcentral lists this long non-coding RNA (435 nucleotides) under Ananas comosus (pineapple). Its description in RNAcentral is "long non-coding RNA (ACOM_LNC032432)". Lineage: Eukaryota; Viridiplantae; Streptophyta; Magnoliopsida; Poales; Bromeliaceae. The record is from RNAcentral.
AUCUUUAUUUUUCUUUUUUUCCGGAAAUAAUUAUUUAAGGAUAAACUUCACAUACCCCCAUGUGGUUUCGCACUUUCUUACUUUAGUACUUUGUCAUUUAAAGUGUAUCUAGUUCGUGUCCUGUGGUUUUUAUUUUAUCUUUUUAUUAAAUUUUUCGCUAAUAUUUCGUUAAAAUUAUAUACAAAAAUCUUUAGAUACCCUACCAAAAUCUAUCGAAUAUUCAUUUUAGUAUCUUUUAAUUUUAACUUUGUCAUUAAUUUAACGAAAAAAAUUAGCAGAAUCAAUAAUAAAAAAAUAAAAAUGAAACCAUAUGGUACUAAAUUUAUACACUUCAAAGUUCAAACCGUAGGUAUUAAAAUGAAAAGGUAUGAAACUAUAUGGAUGGUAUUUGAAAUUUUUUUAUUAUUUAAAGGUUAAAAUGUAAACAUUACGGAU